This 417-nucleotide transfer RNA is filed under the name uncultured delta proteobacterium. Its description in RNAcentral is "partial 16S-23S ribosomal RNA intergenic spacer". The stretch from base 87 to 160 matches the Rfam family "tRNA". Lineage: Bacteria; Deltaproteobacteria. The record is from RNAcentral.
CCUCCUUUCUAAGGAGAAAUCCUCUCUUUUCACGGAGAAGGAUAUGGUCGAGCUCAAAUUCGACGGUCACGCAUGCCCUUAUUUUUGGGCUUGUAGCUCAGUUGGUUAGAGCGCAUCCCUGAUAAGGAUGAGGUCCGUGGUUCGAAUCCACGCAGGCCCACGAUGAGCUGCGGCUUUGAUUUCAUGGGGCUAUAACUCAGUUGGGAGAGCGCCUGAUUUGCAUUCAGGAGGUCGUCGGUUCGAUCCCGGCUAGCUCCACAAAAGAUUUUUGAUAAUUAAUUCUUCUUAGUGAAAAUAGAAGAUUAAUGAUGAGAGAGCGCCCCGACAUGUAAUAUCGGGAAAGUCGUCUGUUUCCCGAUAAAUCGGGAGCUGGCUCUACCAGUUUUUUUAAAAGUAAAGAAUUUGGUUCCCAAGUGG